GUGGCAGGCAGGCCUGAAAAUUCCCCAGGUGCUGUGCUCCUGCCGUAGGUACCUGGCCUAACUCUCCUAUAGCAGGCACAUAAUAGAAGAUUGUUUCACCAUGACUUGUGCGCUGCCCCAUUGAACUGGAAUAGUCCCCUGCACCACUGGCAACACUUGUGGAAAACUGCUGUAACUGUUGCUCAAUAGCACUUGAGGCAGUUUUAUAUAUUUUUAUAAAUGUUUUCACUUCUGA
Aquila chrysaetos chrysaetos is the source of this 235-nucleotide long non-coding RNA. RefSeq lists it as uncharacterized. The record is from RefSeq and is a predicted model, not a curated record. Lineage: Eukaryota; Metazoa; Chordata; Aves; Accipitriformes; Accipitridae. The transcript is spliced from 2 exons.